AUGAGAGCUUUAUUCUGGAAUAUUUGUGGUUUCGGUGCUAGGGGGCGCCGUGACCAGAUUCAUGACUUGGUUUGUGGUGAACAUAUUGACAUUUUAGGAUUGGUCGAAACGUUUAAGGAAUCCUUUUCCCCUUCUGAACUCUCUGCGAUAGCUGGGAUGGAUACGUUUGAUUGGCACUUUCUCCCCGCCUCGAGUCAUUCUGGGGGAAUCUUGAUUGGGUCCAAGCGGGACGUUUUUGAUUUCAUUGCUUUUGAUCAUGGCAUCUUUUGGGCUAGCUGUGUGGUUCAUCAUCGUCAGCUGAACACUUUGUGGGAAUUUAUGGUGGUAUAUGGCCCCGUAGAUCACACGCUUGCUCCUCUCUUUUUGGAUGAACUAUCGAUUAAGAUUGAAGCAUGUAAUAUUCCUCUUCUAAUUGGGGGUGAUUUCAAUUUGUUA
Molecule: ribosomal RNA, 435 nt
Filed under: Triticum aestivum (bread wheat)
Lineage: Eukaryota; Viridiplantae; Streptophyta; Magnoliopsida; Poales; Poaceae
Description: partial small subunit ribosomal RNA
Source: RNAcentral